Molecule: transfer RNA, 85 nt
Filed under: Felis catus (domestic cat)
Lineage: Eukaryota; Metazoa; Chordata; Mammalia; Carnivora; Felidae
Rfam family: tRNA
About the family: Transfer RNA (tRNA) molecules are approximately 80 nucleotides in length. Their secondary structure includes four short double-helical elements and three loops (D, anti-codon, and T loops).
Source: Rfam by way of RNAcentral
GCCUGGGUGGCUCAGUCGGUUAAGUGUCCGACUUCAGCUCAGGUCACGAUCUCGCGGUCCGUGGGUUCGAGCCCCACGUCAGGCU